This 962-nucleotide long non-coding RNA is filed under the name Coffea arabica (coffee). Its description in RNAcentral is "long non-coding RNA (CARA_LNC004047)". The record is from RNAcentral. Lineage: Eukaryota; Viridiplantae; Streptophyta; Magnoliopsida; Gentianales; Rubiaceae.
CGGGGGCUCUGCAUCCUUCAAAAUGAGUGGGAGAGAUAUUUAUAGGAGAUAGAUUGGAGAGAAGGAUAGUGGAUUCCAAUUCCCUAAAAUUUGACAUUGACUGUGCAUGUCUAAUUUGCGUUGACAGGACACAGCAGUGGUUGGGCCUUGUCAACAUCUUGUCUUCCUGCCAUGGAGAUGUUAAGCUUCUCAGUGCGAUGUCAGUCAUCAUAACGUGAACAGUAUCCAAAAAGAGAUAUCUACAGAUAGAGGGCCAACCUCGGCCGUACAUACGUGAUGACGAGCUAAGGUGACUGAAGCUGGUGGAGGCUCGGCCCUAGAAUUGGAUGAGCCGAGCCGAGAUGGCCGCUCUUACUUAGCAUCGAAAUUAUAUGGUUUGCUCAGAGCUUCUAGGUUCAACUCGGGGUACAUCUUGCGAACUUGAUCUAUGGCUGAGGUAAAGCUGAACAAGUAGACCGGCUAAGCCAUGUCAAUCAAGUCCUGAAGGAAGUUAUUAGGCUUGGUAUACAAACUGGUAGCCUCUAGGAUGGCAAGGUAGAGCUCGGACUAGUGCGCCUCAUCUUGCUUUUGCAGUCGCUUGUUCAUGGUCCUUAAAUUCUUGCCAUAUAAACCUUGGUUUCAGGUUUCAACUACCCAAGCUUGAUCCAAAAGCUUGGGACGUUUCUCUAAUAUAUUUCACAUGGUAAGGGGUCUAUUUAAUAUGCUAGUACAAGUUGAUUAUGUGGAAUUGCGGAUACUCUAUUUUGUAUUUUAGCAGUAAUUUUCACGUGUCCAAUUGUGUAGGCAAAAAGGCAGCAGGAAACAGGUACGACAAAAAAAGAAAGUUGGGCAUAAAUUCAAGUUCAUCUUUCAAUAGCACAUGGGAUUGUAACAUAAAUGUGGAAAUGUUACCUUCCAAUCUAAUAAGAAAAGUAGGGUUCAUCUUUUGCGAAACUCUGAUAGUAAGUAGGGUGGCAAUAGGG